RNAcentral lists this ribosomal RNA (253 nucleotides) under uncultured bacterium. Its description in RNAcentral is "partial 16S ribosomal RNA". It matches the Rfam family "Bacterial small subunit ribosomal RNA", at positions 524 to 776 of the family's 1533-position model. The record is from RNAcentral.
UACGUAGGCAGCGAGCGUUGUUCGGAGUUACUGGGCGUAAAGCGUGCGUAGGCGGUCUUGUAAGUCUGGUGUGAAAUCUCCUGGCUUAACUGGGAGGGUGCGCCGGAAACUGGAGUGCUUGAGCGUGGGAGAGGAAAGCGGAAUUCCUGGUGUAGCGGUGAAAUGCGUAGAUAUCAGGAGGAACACCUGUGGUGUAGACGGCUUUCUGGACCAUUGCUGACGCUGAGACACGAAAGCGUGGGUAGCAAACAGG